UCAAGCUAAUAAGAGCGCAAGGGGAAUGCCUUGGCAUCAGGAGCCGAUGAAGGACGUGACAAGCUGCGAAAAGCUUCGGGGAGCUGCAAAUGAGCAAUGAUCCGGAGAUAUCCGAAUGUGGGAACACACCUGAGCAAUACUCAGGUAUCGUGCGGUGAAUAAAAUAGUCGUACGAGGGGAACGCCCUGAACUGAAACAUCUAAGUAGGGGCAGGAAAAGACAUCAACCGAGAUUCCGCUAGUAGUGGCGAGCGAACGCGGAGGAGGCCAAACCGAAGGUCUUAGAUCUUCGGGGUUAGGACUUGCAUCAAGAUCAGAGGUAUCUAACUGAACGGUGUGGGAAAGCCGACCACAGAGGGUGAGAGUCCCGUAAGUGAAAGAGAAGACUGACAGCGAGGAUCCAGAGUACCGCCGGACACGUGAAACCCGGUGGGAAGACGGGUGGACCACCAUCCAAGCCUAAAUACUACCUGAUGACCGAUAGAGGAGCAGUACCGUGAGGGAAAGGUGAAAAGAACCCCGGGAGGGGAGUGAAAUAGUACCUGAAACCUUGUGCUUACAAGCAGUCAGAGCUCGUUAAAGAGUGAUGGCGUACCUUUUGUAGAAUGGUCCGGCGAGUUAUAGUCACUGGCGAGGUUAAGUUAUUCAGUAACGGAGCCGAAGGGAAACCGAGUCUUAAUAGGGCGUGAAGUCAGUGGCCAUAGACCUGAAACCGGGUGACCUAUCCAUGAGCAGGCUGAAGGUGAGGUAAAACUCACUGGAGGGCCGAACCCACGUUCGUUGCAAUGACCGGGGAUGACUUGUGGAUAGCGGAGAAAUUCCAAUCGAACUCGGAGAUAGCUGGUUCUCCCCGAAAUAGCUUUAGGGCUAGCGUUGACUUAGAUUACUGGAGGUAGAGCACUGAAUAGGCUAGGGGGCGAUGAGCUUACUGAACCUUAUCAAACUCCGAAUGCCAGAUAAUUGAUGGUCAGCAGUCAGACAGUGUGAGAUAAGUUUCAUUGUCAAAAGGGAAACAGCCCAGACCCACAGCUAAGGUCCCAAAUAUACGCUAAGUGGAAAACGAUGUGGAAUUGCAAAAACAACCAGGAUGUUGGCUUAGAGGCAGCCACUCAUUAAAAGAGUGCGUAAUAGCUCACUGGUCGAGUGACUCUGCGCGGAAAAUAUAACGGGGCUAAGCGUAUAACCGAAGCUUGGGAAGUCUUUGGACUUGGUAGGGGAGCGUCGAAUACGGGGUGAAGUACGAGCGGAAGCACGUGUGGACUGUAUUCGAGUGAGAAUGCCGGAAUGAGUAGCGAGAAUUAUGUGGGAAUCAUAAUGGCCGAAAAUCUAAGGUUUCUUGGGGAAGGUUCGUCCGCCCAAGGUAAGCCGGGAGCUAAGGCGAGGCCGAGAGGCGUAGUCGAUGCACACACGGUUGAAAUUCCGUGGCCACCGAAAAUUUUAAGCACAGGGACACUUUGAGAUAUCCGAACCCGGGCGUUGGUUGACUCGGGCGAAAGGGAUCGAACAUCAGUAGAGAAGUCGGAGAUGCUCAGAGGCGAGAAAAGCUGUGUGUAUAAUUGAGGUGCCCGUACCGCAAACCGACACAGGUAGAUGAGGAGAGAAUCCUAAGGCCAACGGGAGAAGGGUUGUUAAGGAACUCGGCAAAUUGACCCCGUAACUUCGGGAUAAGGGGAGCCGGCCACGGCCGGCCGCAGUGAAUAGGCCCAAGCAACUGUUUACCAAAAACACAGGUCUCUGCUAAAUCGAAAGAUGACGUAUAGGGGCUGACGCCUGCCCGGUGCCGGAAGGUUAAGAGGAGAGCUUAGCGCAAGCGAAGGUUUGAAUUGAAGCCCCGGUAAACGGCGGCCGUAACUAUAACGGUCCUAAGGUAGCGAAAUUCCUUGUCAG
RNAcentral lists this ribosomal RNA (1886 nucleotides) under metagenome. RNAcentral describes it as "bacterial LSU rRNA". It matches the Rfam family "Bacterial large subunit ribosomal RNA", at positions 3 to 1975 of the family's 2925-position model. The record is from RNAcentral.